CUUAUACUCCCUCCGUCCGGAAUUACUCGUCUAAAAAAUGAAUGUAUCUAGAUGUAUUUUAGUUGUAGAUACAUCCAUUUUUGUGACAAGUAAUUCCGAACAGAGGGAGUACAUG
Molecule: non-coding RNA, 115 nt
Organism: Triticum aestivum (bread wheat)
Lineage: Eukaryota; Viridiplantae; Streptophyta; Magnoliopsida; Poales; Poaceae
Source: Rfam